CCUACGGGGGGCUGCAGUGAGGAAUUUUCGGCAAUGGGGGAAACCCUGACCGAGCCAUGCCGCGUGCAGGAUUAAGGCCCUAAGGGUUGUAAACUGCUGUGGUAGUCUACUAAUUUUGAAGAAACUACUAGAAAGAAGUUGCUAACUCUGUGCCAGCAGCAGCGGUAAUACAGAGACUUCAAGCGUUAUCCGGUUUCACUGGGCGUAAAGCGUUCCGAAGGCUGCUAUGUGUGUCUGGGGUGAAAGACCGGAGCUUAACUCCGUGUUUGCCUUGG
RNAcentral lists this ribosomal RNA (275 nucleotides) under uncultured bacterium. RNAcentral describes it as "partial 16S ribosomal RNA". It matches the Rfam family "Bacterial small subunit ribosomal RNA", at positions 338 to 629 of the family's 1533-position model. The record is from RNAcentral.